AGAGGAGCUGGACAAGUACUGGUCCCAGCAGAUUGAGGAGAGCACCACAGUGGUCACCACGCAGUCCGCUGAGGUUGGAGCUGUCGAGAUGA
Carlito syrichta (Philippine tarsier) is the source of this 92-nucleotide microRNA precursor. Lineage: Eukaryota; Metazoa; Chordata; Mammalia; Primates; Tarsiidae. The record is from Ensembl.